AUGCAAGCAUUUUCAAAUUUUUGUCUUGUAAUGCUCAAGCUCUUUAGAGCUGCUUUGACCCUUGCAUUGAGGCAAACAAGUCUGUUUCUCUGGUUUUCCAGUUCUCAGGGGAGGAAAGGGGCUGCCUUACCUGCAGGAGAUCACACCAGGUAUGUUUGUAAAUACUCACAGAGUCCCCAUGAUGUCCUUGGAUUUGAUGCUGGUGCCAGAACCCAUAUAAUUUUGGUUUAUUUAAAUAACUGGUACUCAUGGACUUCAAAUUUUCUGAAGCUGGAGAAGUGCUUUUUCAAAGUGGUCAGUUUUCUGUCUCUGAAGAUUGUGAUCACUUUUGGAGCAGCUUCCUUUGCUUGGAGAUAAUCUCCAGGAUGGGACUUUUAAUGACACUAAUGUAAAAGAUUCUUGGCGACAACUGUGUGGUCGUCUGUAACCAAAAUGUCGAUGCUUUGGACCAGGAUAUCCCAUGAAUGAGACAUGUGACUGGUGGGGGCAUCGCUAGGCCAAAUACAUCUUUAAAGAGUCAGAGGGCUCUAGGCCAUAAAGAUCAAUCCAGAUUGCACCAUCUCUAAAUGUGAUGAUUUGUUCUUGGGGAAUAAGCGUGCCCAAGAGGCUCCCACAGGAGAUCAGGAGCAGAGGUCCGGGCAGGAAGGAUGAGCAGCAUCCCCUCCUUACCUGGAGUGGGUCCCAGAAAAACCAGCUCCAGGGCACUGGGCUGGGGAAGUGAGGGACCUCCCUUGGAGGGGAAGGGUUGUUCCUGCACUGGAUAAGAUGUACGUUGUCAGAAGCACUCCUGAGGCUAAUAGGUACGCUGGCCUGUCGACAAGGAGGAAGGAGAUGCCACACAGAGAGGAGGCCAGAAAGAGAGAUUCCUUGAGCCACUAAAUUAGACUGUCCAGAGGAAGGCCCGGGAAUCUAUUAAGCCAGAACCAGGUGCACAUGGGUGGCUCAGUCAGCUAAGCAUCUCACUCAUGUUUUCAGUUCAAGUCAUGGUAUCAGGGACACGAGAUCCAGCCCCCAUAGGGCUCCUUGCUCAGUGCAGGAUCUGCUUGAGGUUCUUUCCCCCUCUCCCUCACUCCCCCUCUUCUCCUCCCCCCACCUUGUACUCACCCACAUGCGUGCUCUCUCCCUCUCAAAUAAAUACAUAAGUACGUACA
RNAcentral lists this long non-coding RNA (1151 nucleotides) under Vulpes vulpes (red fox). Its description in RNAcentral is "lncRNA (ENSVVUG00000023730.1)". The record is from RNAcentral. Lineage: Eukaryota; Metazoa; Chordata; Mammalia; Carnivora; Canidae.